This 684-nucleotide ribosomal RNA is filed under the name Triticum aestivum (bread wheat). RNAcentral's name for it is "partial small subunit ribosomal RNA". Lineage: Eukaryota; Viridiplantae; Streptophyta; Magnoliopsida; Poales; Poaceae. The record is from RNAcentral.
AUGCAUAAUGGUUUACUCGCUACUCUGCGGAAUCGCCUAACCAAUGUGGCUUCUGCCGAGCUUGCGUCUGUUUUGUCUUUGUUGCAGGAUGUUACCACAAGCAAUGCGCCCGACGACAGGUUCCUCAUCCACGGCUCCUCGUUCACCUCGAGGUGCGCCUACUCUUUGCUCUCCUCCGGCCAUGAGCUUGACCUCAACGCUGGGCACAUUUGGGGAUCCAAGGCACCAAUCAAGGUGAGGAUCUUCGGCUGGCUCCUCUGUCGUGACAGGCUAAGCACGAUGGCGAACUUACAUCGCAAGACCAUUACCUCGGGAUCGUCUUGCCCUCGAUGUGACUUGUCUUCUGAGGAUGCGGCGCACCUCGCUCUACUCUGCCCAUGCACGGGCCAGGUCUGGUCCAUACUGGGACUCCAGGCCCCUAACCGCAUCGACCUCAUCUGGGAUACUCCUACUCCGGUAGGCCUCCACAUCAACAUUUGGCCUACUGUCGCCCUUGUCGUCCUCUGGAAGCUCUGGGAUUCCAAAAACGCUCGUGUGUUCCAUAACGAGAUACACUCCCCCCUAAAUACUAUUCGGAACAUUAUCUCCGAUUUCACGCUUUGGUCCUUCAGAUUUAAGGACCACGUUAGUAGGGAGGCUGCCGUGUCUUGGCGCAUGUACCUCUCCUCUCGCUGUAAUCUAUAA